Molecule: ribosomal RNA, 303 nt
Filed under: uncultured bacterium
Lineage: Bacteria
Description: bacterial SSU rRNA
Rfam family: Bacterial small subunit ribosomal RNA
Source: RNAcentral
UGGGGAAUAUUGCACAAUGGGGGAAACCCUGAUGCAGCGACGCCGCGUGAGUGAUGAAGUAUUUCGGUAUGUAAAGCUCUAUCAGCAGGGAAGAUAAUGACGGUACCUGACUAAGAAGCUCCGGCUAAAUACGUGCCAGCAGCCGCGGUAAUACGUAUGGAGCAAGCGUUAUCCGGAUUUACUGGGUGUAAAGGGAGCGCAGACGGCAGGGCAAGUCUGAUGUGAAAGUCCGGGGCUCAACCCCGGGACUGCAUUGGAAACUGUCCGGCUAGAGUGCAGGAGAGGUAAGUGGAAUUCCUAGUG